UCAUAUUGGAAGUCUACUGUGUUUUGUUUGUAAACAAAACACAAUACGCUAGUGCCGAAGCUGGCUCGUGAUCAGUCUGUCUCUUUCACGCUACAAGCAAAUAAUUCCCCUUCUGCUUUCCUCCCUUCUGUUUUCAUAUUCCGCUCCCCUAACCAACUUAGUGACGAAACGGCCUCACCUAGUACCAUAGACCCGUCUUGUACAGUACGAAUUCAACGGAAAAUUGGUGAUUCGAACCUUGGGAAUGAUUGAAGUAGAGGCAAACUGCUGUGUUUUUGCGUGAUAAUGUACUGGAAACACUACGUGUCGACUAUUUGAAGUCGGAGCAAGUCUUUAGCAUUACGGUGGACAAUAUGAUUGCGACCGUAAAAAAAAAUAAAUCGUUGCUGAAGGAAUCCAUUGCAGUAUCGACUCUAUUAUUCGAAGAUGAUGAGAAAAAAAUCACAGAAAAGAGACCUCAUUGAAGAUUUUGAGCUAGAGUGGGACACACUUUUAUCCCUCGUUCGGUGCGCGGUUUAUUCCCUCCAACUUGUCAUUGAGGAUGUUUUUGAAAAAGCUGAUCCGAAUCUUAAAUACAUCACGGAAGUAGUACGCCAUCUACGUCAAUUUAAGUAUAAUUCAUUCGUCGAGGUUCAACAACUUGUCCUCCCUCUGCUUUGGACACCAACACGCUGGUGUGGUAAUUACAAAAUGUUGUCUAGCAUUUUUAAGCAAGAAGCGACAUUUGUUGAACUGGAAGCUCGGUGUUCUAAAAUGUGUUUAGGCAAGGAUGAUUGGAAAUAUAUACGAUAUUACGUUAAUGCUACCAGGCUGUUCUAUCACUGUACAAAGCAUAUGCAGGCCGAUCAUUAUCCCUAGUCACAAUUCUACAUCGACUAGUUGGUUGCCAUUCAGAGGUCAGUAUGCAAUCCUUUCUAUAAUGCCCUCGUAUCAUCAUGUACAAAUCAAUUGGAACGUCUUCGGAAAGGAACACACGAAUGCAUUUGACUUUAACGACAAAGUCUCCGAAAAUUCUUUAACUUUCUAUAAUCAAAUAAGAGUUUUGGAUACACAGGAACGUCAGCCCCACAUCCUUCAAUGUGUGGAAAUAAUAGGUAGCUCGUAAAAAUACACACCCGGAACUACACACCGUAGCUAUGGUUGUUUUGGCUACACCAUCCAGUCAGGUAUCGGUUGAAAGAGCGUUCAGUACAUUGGCGAUAAUCCUUUCUGAUUAGAGAACUGGUUUAGGAGCGGAAACCCUUUUCAAUAUUCUUCUAGUCAAAUAGAACAUCGAUCUUUCAGAUACGGUACAGACCUUUACAUCUGGAACGAUACAAUCACAGAGAUGAAUUCAAACAACUUGAUUGCAAGACAGGUUUUAUAUUAGUAGAUAUAUGAUUCGGUUAUUAUAUGAGAACUGUUGUUUGUUGAAUUUAGCUUGAAGCAACAUUUUAAUAAAAGACGAACUUAAUCUUGUUAAUAAAAAUAUA
Long non-coding RNA from Toxorhynchites rutilus septentrionalis, 1472 nucleotides. RefSeq lists it as uncharacterized. The record is from RefSeq and is a predicted model, not a curated record. NCBI's taxonomy places the organism in Eukaryota, Metazoa, Arthropoda, Insecta, Diptera, Culicidae. The transcript has 3 exons.